RNAcentral lists this ribosomal RNA (253 nucleotides) under uncultured bacterium. RNAcentral describes it as "partial 16S ribosomal RNA". It matches the Rfam family "Bacterial small subunit ribosomal RNA", at positions 524 to 776 of the family's 1533-position model. The record is from RNAcentral.
UACGAAGGGGGCUAGCGUUGUUCGGAAUCACUGGGCGUAAAGCGCACGUAGGCGGACUGGAAAGUCAGGGGUGAAAUCCCGGGGCUCAACCCCGGAACUGCCUUUGAAACUCCCAGUCUUGAGGUCGAGAGAGGUGAGUGGAAUUCCGAGUGUAGAGGUGAAAUUCGUAGAUAUUCGGAGGAACACCAGUGGCGAAGGCGGCUCACUGGCUCGAUACUGACGAUGAGGUGCGAAAGCGUGGGGAGCAAACAGG